RNAcentral lists this ribosomal RNA (381 nucleotides) under uncultured Nitrosomonas Al-8B1. RNAcentral's name for it is "SSU rRNA". It matches the Rfam family "Bacterial small subunit ribosomal RNA", at positions 117 to 499 of the family's 1533-position model. Lineage: Bacteria; Pseudomonadati; Pseudomonadota; Betaproteobacteria; Nitrosomonadales; Nitrosomonadaceae. The record is from RNAcentral.
GCUGGAAUUCGGCUUUGGGGAAUAACGCAUCGAAAGAUGUGCUAAUACCGCAUAUCUCUCAGGAGGAAAGCAGGGGAUCGCAAGACCUUGCGCUAAAGGAGCGGCCGAUGUCUGAUUAGUUAGUUGGUGGGGUAAAGGCCUACCAAGGCANCGAUCAGUAGCUGGUCUGAGAGGACGAUCAGCCACACUGGGACUGAGACGCGGCCCAGACUCCUACGGGAGGCAGCAGUGGGGAAUUUUGGACAAUGGGCGAAAGCCUGAUCCAGCCAUGCCGCGUGAAUGAAGAAGGCCUUCGGGUUGUAAAGUUCUUUUAGUUGGAAAGAAAAAAUUAUGAUGAAUAAUCAUAAUUCAUGACGGUACCGACAGAAAAANCACCGGCUA